GCUACACAUGCAAGUCGAGCGGGGAAGAGUAGCUUGCUACUUGACCUAGCGGCGGACGGGUGAGUAAUGCUUAGGAAUCUGCCUAUUAGUGGGGGACAACAUCUCGAAAGGGAUGCUAAUACCGCAUACGUCCUACGGGAGAAAGCAGGGGACCUUCGGGCCUUGCGCUAAUAGAUGAGCCUAAGUCGGAUUAGCUAGUUGGUGGGGUAAAGGCCUACCAAGGCGACGAUCUGUAGCGGGUCUGAGAGGAUGAUCAGCCACAUUGGGACUGAGACACGGCCCAAACUCCUACGGGAGGCAGCAGUGGGGAAUCUUGCACAAUGGAGGAAACUCUGAUGCAGCGAUGCCGCGUGAGUGAAGAAGGCCCUUGGGUUGUAAAGCUCUUUCGUCGGGGAAGAAAAUGACUGUACCCGAAUAAGAAGGUCCGGCUAACUUCGUGCCAGCAGCCGCGGUAAUACGAAGGGACCUAGCGUAGUUCGGAUUUACUGGGCGUAAAGCGCGCGUAGGUGGCCAAUUAAGUCAAAUGUGAAAUCCCCGAGCUUAACUUGGGAAUUGCAUUCGAUACUGGUUGGCUAGAGUAUGGGAGAGGAUGGUAGAAUUCCAGGUGUAGCGGUGAAAUGCAUAGAGAUCACACAGAAUACCGAUUGCGAAGGCAGAUUACUAACAAUAUACUGACGCUGAGGGACGAAAGCGUGGGUAGCGAACAGGAUUAGAUACCCUGGUAGUCCACGCCGUAAACGAUGGAUACUAGCUGUUCGACCAACAUUGGUUGGUUGAGUGGCUAAGCGAAAGUGAUAAGUAUCCCACCUGGGGAGUACGGUCGCAAGACUGAAACUCAAAGGAAUUGACGGGGGCCCGCACAAGCGGUGGAGCAUGUGGUUUAAUUCGAUGAUACGCGAGGAACCUUACCAGGCUUAAAUGUAAGUUGCAUGAUUUAGAGAUAGAUCUUUCUUCGGACUACUUACAAGUGCUGCAUGGUUGUCGUCAGCUC
RNAcentral lists this ribosomal RNA (991 nucleotides) under uncultured bacterium. Its description in RNAcentral is "bacterial SSU rRNA". It matches the Rfam family "Bacterial small subunit ribosomal RNA", at positions 48 to 1061 of the family's 1533-position model. The record is from RNAcentral.